RNAcentral lists this ribosomal RNA (392 nucleotides) under Desmodesmus sp. RNAcentral's name for it is "SSU rRNA". It matches the Rfam family "Eukaryotic small subunit ribosomal RNA", at positions 627 to 1026 of the family's 1831-position model. Lineage: Eukaryota; Viridiplantae; Chlorophyta; Chlorophyceae; Sphaeropleales; Scenedesmaceae. The record is from RNAcentral.
CUCGUAGUUGGAUUUCGGGUGGGUCUCAGCGGUCCGCCUAUGGUGAGUACUGCUGUGGCCUUCCUUACUGUCGGGGACCUGCUUCUGGGCUUCAUUGUCCGGGACAGGGAUUCGGCAUGGUUACUUUGAGUAAAUUAGAGUGUUCAAAGCAGGCUUACGCCGUGAAUACUUUAGCAUGGAAUAACAUGAUAGGACUCUGCCCUAUUCUGUUGGCCUGUAGGAGUGGAGUAAUGAUUAAGAGGAACAGUCGGGGGCAUUCGUAUUUCAUUGUCAGAGGUGAAAUUCUUGGAUUUAUGAAAGACGAACUACUGCGAAAGCAUUUGCCAAGGAUGUUUUCAUUAAUCAAGAACGAAAGUUGGGGGCUCGAAGACGAUUAGAUANNNNCGUAGUCA